AACGAACGCUGGCGGCAGGCUUAACACAUGCAAGUCGAACGCCCCGCAAGGGGAGUGGCAGACGGGUGAGUAACGCGUGGGAACGUACCUUUCAGUUCGGAAUAACUCAGGGAAACUUGUGCUAAUACCGGAUACGCUCGCAAGAGGAAAGAUUUAUCGCUGAAAGAUCGGCCCGCGUUGGAUUAGCUAGUUGGUGGGGUAAUGGCCUACCAAGGCGACGAUCCAUAGCUGGUCUGAGAGGAUGAUCAGCCACACUGGGACUGAGACACGGCCCAGACUCCUACGGGAGGCAGCAGUGGGGAAUAUUGGACAAUGGGCGAAAGCCUGAUCCAGCCAUGCCGCGUGAGUGAUGAAGGCCCUAGGGUUGUAAAGCUCUUUCACCGAUGAAGAUAAUGACGGUAGUCGGAGAAGAAGCCCCGGCUAACUUCGUGCCAGCCGCCGCGGUAA
Molecule: ribosomal RNA, 447 nt
Filed under: uncultured bacterium
Lineage: Bacteria
Description: partial 16S ribosomal RNA
Rfam family: Bacterial small subunit ribosomal RNA
Source: RNAcentral